RNAcentral lists this ribosomal RNA (253 nucleotides) under uncultured bacterium. RNAcentral's name for it is "partial 16S ribosomal RNA". It matches the Rfam family "Bacterial small subunit ribosomal RNA", at positions 524 to 776 of the family's 1533-position model. The record is from RNAcentral.
UACGUAGGGUGCAAGCGUUGUCCGGAAUUAUUGGGCGUAAAGAGCUCGUAGGCGGUCUGUUGCGUCGGCUGUGAAAACCCGGGGCUCAACUCCGGGCCUGCAGCCGAUACGGGCAGACUAGAGUUCGGCAGGGGAGACUGGAAUUCCUGGUGUAGCGGUGAGAUGCGCAGAUAUCAGGAGGAACACCGGUGGCGAAGGCGGGUCUCUGGGCAGUAACUGACGCUGAGGAGCGAAAGCGUGGGGAGCGAACAGG